This 27-nucleotide non-coding RNA is filed under the name Cricetulus griseus (Chinese hamster). Lineage: Eukaryota; Metazoa; Chordata; Mammalia; Rodentia; Cricetidae. The record is from RNAcentral.
UUUUAAAGGUUGUAAAUAUGGAGGCUC